This 1326-nucleotide long non-coding RNA is filed under the name Piliocolobus tephrosceles (Ugandan red Colobus). Its description in RNAcentral is "lncRNA (ENSPTEG00000017220.1)". Lineage: Eukaryota; Metazoa; Chordata; Mammalia; Primates; Cercopithecidae. The record is from RNAcentral.
GUACUAACAUUUUUAAUCAACUAUUUUGUUAACAUUUUUCCUUUACCUAUUUAUAAACGUUCUUAAUAAAAUAACAAUCACUCUGAAAAAAAUACUCAUAAAAAAAAAAAAACACUUAACAGGGGUAACAAACCACAAUUAAAUAUAUAUACAUAUAUAUAUAUAUAUAUAUAUAUAUAUAUAAAGGAAAAAAAAAUGGAUAAAAAAAAGACCGCGAAUAAAACGGACGCACAUAAAAAAAGAGAUGUUAAACAUAAUUCUAAAAUGACAGAAAAAAAACAAGAAAAGAAAAGUGAAACAGGAAUAAACAAAACUAAAAGAGAAGAUGGAAUGAAUUCAAAUAAAAAGAAUAACCCAAAAGUAGAAAAAAUAAUAGGUGCAAAAAAUAAUCGUGUUAUUAAUAUAGCAAAUAAUAAUAAUAAAAAAAAUGCUAAAGUUAUAAAAAAUAAUAAUUCAGGGGGAUGUUUUUUAAGUUCUUGUUGUUGUAAUUCUGCUGAAAGCGAACAAAUAAAUGAAUUAAUUGUGGAAGAUGACAAAGUAGUAGAAAAUAAAGAAAAAGAAAGAUUAACUAUGGAAUAUGAAGAUGCUGUAGCACAAGAAGAAAAUGCAAAAAUAAAAAAAAUAAGAGAAGAAGAAAAUAAAAGAUUAAAAAAAUUACAAGAAGAACAAGAAGAAAAAAAAAAACAAGAAGAACAAGAAAAAUUAAAAAUAGAUGAAAAUGUAAAUACAAGAAAAAGAGAUACUAUAUUAAUACAUAAAGAUAUUAAAGGUAAAGUAUUUACAAAAAAAAAAAAAAAAAAAAAAAAAGAUAAUUUAUGCACCUUUAGAACAACCAGUCGAGUUUGUCGGUGAAUAUAUUUUUGUUAUUCAGAAAGGGUUGGAUAUAUUCAAAGACGCAUCAGAUCUGGAAAAAUUAUAUUCAUAUGUUGGUUCUUAUGGAGCAAUGAUAAAUAUAUCCUAAGUAAAUUAUCAUCUGGGUAUGUACGUAUGUACAUAUAUAUAUAUAUAUGUUUAUCCGUAUGUAUGUUUAUCUGUAUGUAUGUAAAUGAAUAUAUUUGUUAAUAACUAUUUAAAUAUAUAAGAAAGACUUUAGAUAUGAGAAUUAAAAAGUAUACAUUUUUGUUCUCUCCCUCUCUCUCUCUCUCUAUCUAUCUAUCUAUCUAUCUAUCUAUCUCUCUCUCUCUUUUUUUUUUUUUUUUUUUUUUUUUUGUACCUAUUUUUUUUGUUGCUUACCAUUUUCAAAUAACACUAUUUCGUUUAUAACUUUAUUGUUGUUUCAACUGUUAUUUUAAUAAAACAUUUUUAUAUGUUUUUUGUUGACCUUUU